UAACCACUCAAGCCUGGCUUGGUAUUGGGGUUCGCGGUUCCGCGGCCCCUAAAAUCAGUGGCGGUGCCGGUGGGCUCUAAGCGUAGUAAAUCUCCUCGCUAUAGGGUCCCUCCGGUUGCUCGCCAGAACCCCCAAUUUUUUAA
RNAcentral lists this unclassified non-coding RNA (143 nucleotides) under uncultured Acephala. RNAcentral describes it as "sequence contains ITS2". Lineage: Eukaryota; Fungi; Ascomycota; Leotiomycetes; Helotiales. The record is from RNAcentral.